RNAcentral lists this ribosomal RNA (537 nucleotides) under uncultured bacterium. Its description in RNAcentral is "bacterial SSU rRNA". It matches the Rfam family "Bacterial small subunit ribosomal RNA", at positions 359 to 917 of the family's 1533-position model. The record is from RNAcentral.
GGAUUGNAAAUGGGGGCACCCUGAUCCAGCNAUGCCGCGUGGGUGAAGAAGGUCUUCGGAUUGUAAAGCCCUUUCGGCGGGGACGAUGAUGACGGUACCCGCAGAAGAAGCCCCGGCUAACUUCGUGCCAGCAGCCGCGGUAAUACGAAGGGGGCUAGCGUUGCUCGGAAUGACUGGGCGUAAAGGGCGCGUAGGCGGUUCGGACAGUCNGAUGUGAAAUUCCUGGGCUUAACCUGGGGGCUGCAUCCNAUACNGCCGGACUGGAGUGGGGAAGAGGGUUGUGGAAUUCCCAGUGUAGAGGUGAAAUUCGUAGAUAUUGGGAAGAACACCGGUGGCGAAGGCGGCNACCUGGUCCUUGACUGACGCUGAGGCGCGAAAGCGUGGGGAGCAAACAGGAUUAGAUACCCUGGUAGUCCACGCUGUAAACGAUGUGUGCUGGAUGUUGGCUGACCUACUCAGUCAGUGUCGNANCUAACGCGGUAAGCACACCGCCUGGGGAGUACAGCCGCAAGGUUGAAACUCAAAAAAAUUGACGGA